RNAcentral lists this unclassified non-coding RNA (662 nucleotides) under Hevea brasiliensis (rubber tree). Lineage: Eukaryota; Viridiplantae; Streptophyta; Magnoliopsida; Malpighiales; Euphorbiaceae. The record is from RNAcentral.
CCCCAACUCGCUCCUCGCUCAUCGCUCACCCAGCCAUGGACAAUGCUCCUCUGCCUUCCGAGGCCAUGUCCAUCGACGGAUCAGCCCUCGACUCUUUCCUCUCAUCCUCCGCCCACUUAACUCACCACGAAGUCAUCACCCGCCGAUCUCGCCGUGUCAAACAACUUGCCAAGAUCUACCGAACCCACUACUGGGCCCUAAUGGAAGACCUCAAAGCCAAGUACAAAGAGUACUACUGGAAGUACGGGAAGAGCCCGUUCAAGGGAGAUGAAAAGAAGAGAAAGACAGACGGUAUUAAAGAGAAUUCUGCAAAUGGAAUUCCAGAAUUGAACGGGAAAUUAGGGUUUAAAGAGGACGAGGACCUGGAGGAAGAGGAGGGGAUUAGGAAGUGUGCGGUGGGUGGAUGCAAGGCGACGCCGAUGGCGUUGACCAGGUUUUGUCACCCGCAUAUACUCUUGGAUUCCAAACAGAAACUGUAUAUAGGCUGCACUGCACCUUUGUUGUUAAAAGUGCCCAGGGAAGACCUGUCCAUUGUGGGAAACCAAUACUGAGAUCGGCUGUCCCUGCACUCUGUCCACCUCAUUUUCAAAAGGCUGAAACAUAUGUGGCACGGGCCUUGAGAAAGGCAGGUCUUAAUGUCUCUUCACCGAGUAAGAUUGCUC